CCCGAUGUCAUCUAGUGGCCUAGGAUGCCGCCCUGUCGAGGCGGUCACGCGAGUUCAAAUCUCGUCGUCGGGAC
This 74-nucleotide transfer RNA is filed under the name Mycobacterium phage Rey. Its description in RNAcentral is "tRNA-Asp". It matches the Rfam family "tRNA". From Rfam's summary of the family: Transfer RNA (tRNA) molecules are approximately 80 nucleotides in length. Their secondary structure includes four short double-helical elements and three loops (D, anti-codon, and T loops). Further hydrogen bonds mediate the characteristic L-shaped molecular structure. tRNAs have two regions of fundamental functional importance: the anti-codon, which is responsible for specific mRNA codon recognition, and the 3' end, to which the tRNAs corresponding amino acid is attached (by aminoacyl-tRNA synthetases). tRNAs cope with the degeneracy of the genetic code in two manners: having more than one tRNA (with a specific anti-codon) for a particular amino acid; and 'wobble' base-pairing, i.e. permitting non-standard base-pairing at the 3rd anti-codon position. Lineage: Duplodnaviria; Heunggongvirae; Uroviricota; Caudoviricetes; Vilmaviridae. The record is from RNAcentral. RNAcentral also lists the same sequence under 1 other name.